AGAGUUUGAUCCUGGCUCAGGAUCAACGCUGGCGGCGUGCAUGAGACAUGCAAGUCGAACGGACGACUCGGGCUUGCUCGAGUCGUUAGUGGCGGACGGCUGAGUAACGCGUAGGUGACCUACCCCGAAGUGGGGAAUAACUGCCCGAAAGGGUGGCUAAUACCGCAUGUGGUGAUGCGCUCAAUCGCAUCAGUAAAGCCGCAAGGCGCUUCGGGACGGGCCUGCGUCCGAUUAGCUCGUUGGUGGGGUAACGGCUCACCAAGGCGACGAUCGGUAGGUGGUCUGAGAGGACGAUCACCCAGACUGGGACUGAGACACGGCCCAGACUCCUACGGGAGGCAGCAGUCGGGAAUUUUGCUCAAUGGGCGAAAGCCUGAAGCAGCAACGCCGCGUGAGGGAUGAAGGCCUUCGGGUUGUAAACCUCUUUUCUCAGGGAAGAUAAUGACGGUACCUGAGGAAUAAGCCACGGCUAACUACGUGCCAGCAGCCGCGGUAAUACGUAGGUGGCAAGCGUUGUCCGGAUUUACUGGGCGUAAAGAGCGCGCAGGCGGUCGUUCAAGUCGAGUGUGAAAGCCCCCGGCCCAACUGGGGAGGGUCACUCGAUACUGAUCGACUUGAAGGCAGGAGAGGGUAGUGGAAUUCCCGGUGUAGUGGUGAAAUGCGUAGAUAUCGGGAGGAACACCAGUGGCGAAGGCGACUACCUGGCCUGUUCUUGACGCUGAGGCGCGAAAGCUAGGGGAGCAAACGGGAUUAGAUACCCCCGUAGUCC
RNAcentral lists this ribosomal RNA (769 nucleotides) under uncultured soil bacterium. RNAcentral describes it as "bacterial SSU rRNA". It matches the Rfam family "Bacterial small subunit ribosomal RNA", at positions 8 to 796 of the family's 1533-position model. The record is from RNAcentral.